UAGGGAAUCUUCGGCAAUGGACGGAAGUCUGACCGAGCAACGCCGCGUGAGCGAAGAAGGUUUUCGGAUCGUAAAGCUCUGUUGUUAGAGAAGAAUGUUGGUAGGAGUGGAAAAUCUACCAAGUGACGGUAACUAACCAGAAAGGGACGGCUAACUACGUGCCAGCAGCCGCGGUAAUACGUAGGUCCCGAGCGUUGUCCGGAUUUAUUGGGCGUAAAGCGAGCGCAGGCGGUUCUUUAAGUCUGAAGUUAAAGGCAGUGGCUUAACCAUAGUACGCUUUGGAAUCUGGAGGACUUGAGUGCAGCAGGGGAGAGUGGAAUUCCAUGUGUAGCCGUGAAAUGCGUAGAUAUAUAGAGGAACACCGGUGGCGAAAGCGGCUCGCUAGUCUGUAACUGACGCUGAGGCUCGAAAGCGUGGGGAGCAAACAGG
Molecule: ribosomal RNA, 429 nt
Filed under: Bacillota bacterium
Lineage: Bacteria; Bacillati; Bacillota
Description: Firmicutes bacterium partial 16S ribosomal RNA
Rfam family: Bacterial small subunit ribosomal RNA
Source: RNAcentral